UUCCCCAUCUCCACUUUAGGGACAGUAUACCAAGCCUGAGGUUGUGAACAUCAAAGAGAACUGGUCUGUGUCGCCACCACUAUCAACUCUGAGCAUCCCCAUGACCUAGGACCUAUUCUUUCUGUCACCACCUGGGCCCACUUCAUGGGAGGAAGCACAUGCCUGGCACUGCAAAUGUGGUAAAGAACCCAUGGUUGGGGAUCUCUGAGGUCCCAGGGGCAAAACUACUACCGUUAUUGUGUUCCAAGCAUCUCAGAACAUGUUGACAGAAUGGAUGAAUAAAGCGGCUGGCUGGCUACUGUACCUGUCUAGGCAGGAAACACUUUCUGUAUCAGCGGACUUUUGUGACACUGCACAUCUUCAUUCAGGCCCAGCAGAGAUGCGAAAACUAGAAGAAGGCAGUUUGCAUCUUUCUUUCCACACCACCAAAUAGGGAGAAGAUGACCAUCUAUGAAUCUGGAAACAGGUCCCUUACCAGACACUGAACCUGCCUGGUGCCUUGAUCUUGAGCCUCCAAGCUUCACAACUAUGGUUAUUGUGAUGAUUGCUUGGAGUACCAUACAGCUCACUCCUGGGGCAUGAGGACCUACUCCUAGGACACAGGCUCGCACUCUGCUAAAGUAACCCACUUUCUUGUUCCUGGAGAACUCUUGAGCAUGCAUUUAUUCUCAGUACAACUCUUAGUACAUGCUGGACCCUUGUGAAGGAUUCACCAAAAGCCUGAGAGAAUGUCCCAGUCAAAUCCAGUCCCUCUGGGUUAUCUAUUGAUCCUGUCACAUGAGAAAGAGUAUGGAUUCCAGAGGAGGAAGAAUAGGACCUUUUUGUGCUCCUUUCCUUCUGGGUCUUGAAGCUCACCUUGACUAAGGCCAGACAAGAAGGAGUGGACAGGCAUCCCCAGGACAGCACACUUUUCAAAUGCUCCCUGGACAAAGAACAAUGGAAGCAAAGGUGGCGUUAAGGCAGGCGGAUCUCUGUGAGUUUGAGACCAGCCUGUACUACCAAGCGAGUUCCAGGACAGCCUCCAAAGCCACUGAGAAACCCUGUCUCGAAAAAAACCAAAAAAAAAAAAAAAAAAGCUGUCUCAGCACUUGAUUACCAUCAUCAUGUUUAUGGAGCGAGAUUUCCUACUGCUUUCUAACUGUAAGACUUCCACACUCAUUGUGUGACUGCAAUGUCUAUUUAGCAAGCUUCCAGAGACUUCCACAAUCCUGCGUCCACUAGGCCUAUUGUGCCAAUGUAUGUCAUUUAGAACUUUGCACAGUGUCAAUUUGCACUUUGAUCUUCUGUUUCCAUUUAGGUAUCUGUAGCUCUUGGGUUUUUUCAGUCUUCUUGAAGAUGACUUUUGAACUCCUUGCUGACUUGUGUUCUUUGUUGAGUUCCCUCAAAUUUUUGUCCUGUUUUCUCUUCAUCCCUCACCUCCCCCCUUCCAAUUUGUACAUUGAACAUCUCAUCUGUGGUCUCAAUUGUGGCCAGUAUAAGGAUAACCCCAAAUCUAACAUUCAACUCAAGAAAUACUUCCUAGUUUUUUGGAGCUCAGUCCUUUGGAACUUGGAAAGAAACACGUUCCAAGCCACACUUGGACAAAGUAACAAAGGGCCCUGAGUUGAUGUAAGAUGCAAACAUUAGUUGGUGUGAGAGGUAGCGUGGGAGGCCACAGGAGAAACUGAACUAAAACGUAAGUUACUGACUUGUGUUCUUCCUCUCUCCAAUUCAUGUGUAGGAACCAAACCCCUUUAGGCAGUGGCAUUAUGAACUGGGUGCUUUGGUAUAUGCUAGGAUUGGAUGCAACCAUGAGGGAAUCCCUCCUUUCUGCAAGCUCUAUUCCCAGCCCUUAUGACUUUUAGAAACAGCAGCCUGUGUUAAGAUGAGGAAACAAUCAA
This is a long non-coding RNA of Mesocricetus auratus (golden hamster), 1880 nucleotides long. RefSeq lists it as uncharacterized. The record is from RefSeq and is a predicted model, not a curated record. Lineage: Eukaryota; Metazoa; Chordata; Mammalia; Rodentia; Cricetidae. The transcript is spliced from 5 exons.